UACGUAGGGGGCAAGCGUUGUCCGGAAUCAUUGGGCGUAAAGAGCGUGUAGGCGGCUCGGUAAGUCCGCUGUGAAAGUCCAGGGCUCAACCCUGGAAUGCCGGUGGAAACUGUCGAGCUAGAGUCCGGAAGAGGCGAGUGGAAUUCCUGGUGUAGCGGUGAAAUGCGCAGAUAUCAGGAGGAACACCAAUAGCGAAGGCAGCUCGCUGGGACGGUACUGACGCUAAGGCGCGAAAGCGUGGGGAGCGAACAGG
Molecule: ribosomal RNA, 253 nt
Filed under: uncultured bacterium
Lineage: Bacteria
Description: partial 16S ribosomal RNA
Rfam family: Bacterial small subunit ribosomal RNA
Source: RNAcentral